This 1167-nucleotide long non-coding RNA is filed under the name Oryza sativa Indica Group (long-grained rice). RNAcentral describes it as "lncRNA OsLaMu_07g0003920". Lineage: Eukaryota; Viridiplantae; Streptophyta; Magnoliopsida; Poales; Poaceae. The record is from RNAcentral.
AUGGCUGCGAUGCACAAUAGCAGGAUUCUGAAAAAGACUGAAAUGAAAGAGUUUGUUGGGGGCGCCGCACCAUCAAGUACAACAUCAGACCCUCUUGUUGAUAUAACAAAUACAAAUGGUCUCGGUUUCACUAAUAGACGGGGCAAGGGUAGAGCCAAGUCGUUAUGUGUUGUUCGAAGAAACGACAAAGAGUGUCACGGCUCUAAAGAAAACUGUGACAACUCUGAACAGAACACUCCAAUAGCUUCAAAUGUUGUGCAUCCUAUUGUCACGCCUAAUAGUCAGCCAUUUGCGGAUGACCGCGAUGCAUCCUUCAGUACACCAAGCAAUUUGCCUAUGUGCACAGGUGCGCAUGGAGAUGUUACUAACCUUACCCAUGCUGAAGUUGCAAGAAAGCAUGCUAGAAACUGGUACGCAUCAUUGACCCAGGAGCAAAAGGAUGAGAGGAACAAGAAGGACCAUGAGAGAAGAAAACGGAAGAAGGAGGAAAGUCAAGUUUUAAAGUCUGCAACCAAUAGUGGUGUAGCCCCACUUGGCAAGCUUUCCAAUAUAAGUGCUGUUGAUUUAAUGACAUGCCAAUUGGAAGUGAACGAUUCUUCUACGUUGCAUAAAGAACGAAGUGAUGCUUCCCAUCUUAAUAUCACACCCAGACGUCUCCCAUUUACAAUCAUCAACAAUGUAGCUCACUAUGGUCCAAAUGAAGUUCCAAUGAGCUGCGUAAUUCAAACAACCCAAAACAGAGACGUCAAGUUGCGUAAUGCAACUCUUACACCGGAGCAGAAGCAAGCUAAGGUCGAUCGACAGAGAACAAGACGUCAAGCACUAACCAAUGAACAGAGACUAGAGAUGAAUGAUUGCCGUAGGGUUGCAAGGCAAACUCUGCCGAAUGUGGAAAUACAUGAUAUGAAUGCUCGCCAGCGAUCAAGACGACAAAGUGUUACUCCUGGAGAACGGUCUGCUCAUCUGGCACGACGUAAUGAACUGUAUGCAACUAGGCGUGACAAACCAUGCGCUCAAUCGAUUGCAUUGGAGUGCCCUGAGGAUUGUAGCUCAUCGUUGCUAAAUCCAACGCCUUCCUUUGAAACAACCGGUGAUGUGCCAGCUACAUCGAGCCUGCAAACUGAACUUGCUGCAGAUCAUCUUGCACGAUCGUCUAACUUUGAUGAU